Pelobates cultripes (western spadefoot toad) is the source of this 285-nucleotide non-coding RNA. Lineage: Eukaryota; Metazoa; Chordata; Amphibia; Anura; Pelobatidae. The record is from the annotation of a GenBank genome assembly.
UAUAAAAUUAAAUGUGCUGACAACUCCGUCAUGAUAUUGUAUACCAAUGUAAAGCUUGUACUCGCUGUCGUGGCGCUACAGGCCUGUUUGUAAAAGUAUGCACAAGAAAAAUAAAGAAUUUUAAAAAAAAUAUCACCAUUUGAAAUACCCUAGGGUGUCUACUUUUCAAAAAUAUAUGGUUUGAUGGGGGUAAAUUACAUUGGCCGGCUUCAAAAAUGUCCCAAAUAGGACAUGGGUGGAUGAUGAGCAGCUGAGAAAAUUUCAAGAUGGAAAACUGGAAUGCGC